CGGACGGGUGAGUAACGCGUAAAGAACUUGCCCUUUAGACUGGGAUAACAGAGGGAAACUUCUGAUAAUACUGGAUAAGUUAGUAUAUCGCAUGAUAUGCAAAUGAAAGCUACGGCACUAAAGGAGAGCUUUGCGUCCUAUUAGCUAGUUGGUAAGGUAAGAGCUUACCAAGGCGAUGAUAGGUAGCCGGCCUGAGAGGGUGGACGGCCACAAGGGGACUGAGAUACGGCCCUUACUCCUACGGGAGGCAGCAGCU
Molecule: ribosomal RNA, 256 nt
Filed under: uncultured Leptotrichia sp.
Lineage: Bacteria; Fusobacteriati; Fusobacteriota; Fusobacteriia; Fusobacteriales; Leptotrichiaceae
Description: partial 16S ribosomal RNA
Rfam family: Bacterial small subunit ribosomal RNA
Source: RNAcentral